CACGUAGGGCGCAAGCGUUGUCCGGAAUUAUUGGGCGUAAAGAGCGUGUAGGCGGUUUGGUAGGUCCGUUGUGAAAACUCGAGCUCAACCUCGAGACGCCGGCGGAAACCAUCAGACUAGAGUCCGGAAGAGGAGAGUGGAAUUCCUGGUGUAGCGGUGAAAUGCGCAGAUAUCAGGAGGAACACCAAUAGCGAAGGCAGCUCGCUGGGACGUUACUGACACUGAGGCGCGAAAGCGUGGGGAGCGAACAGG
This 252-nucleotide ribosomal RNA is filed under the name uncultured bacterium. Its description in RNAcentral is "partial 16S ribosomal RNA". It matches the Rfam family "Bacterial small subunit ribosomal RNA", at positions 524 to 776 of the family's 1533-position model. The record is from RNAcentral.